AUUCCAUGAUGGGGACAUUCUAGGAUGUAGUCUUGGAAGCGCUCCCAUGCUUCUGGAACGGAUUCAUCAUGUUGUUGCUAAAAACUUGUAAUUUUCUCAUGGAGAGC
RNAcentral lists this small nucleolar RNA (107 nucleotides) under Sorghum bicolor (sorghum). RNAcentral describes it as "Plant small nucleolar RNA R71". It matches the Rfam family "Plant small nucleolar RNA R71". From Rfam's summary of the family: R71 is a member of the C/D box family of snoRNAs containing the C (UGAUGA) and D (CUGA) box motifs. Multiple nearly identical copies of this snoRNA have been identified in Arabidopsis, and it is thought to function as a 2'-O-ribose methylation guide for 18S ribosomal RNA. Lineage: Eukaryota; Viridiplantae; Streptophyta; Magnoliopsida; Poales; Poaceae. The record is from Rfam by way of RNAcentral.